Molecule: long non-coding RNA, 275 nt
Filed under: Olea europaea (common olive)
Lineage: Eukaryota; Viridiplantae; Streptophyta; Magnoliopsida; Lamiales; Oleaceae
Description: long non-coding RNA (OEUR_LNC002145)
Source: RNAcentral
GCAUAAUAUGGUGAAAUGUGAUUGGGCAAAGGCAUAUAUAUUAAUUCGGAACAAGGGCUUAAUUUCUUAUUAAGUAAAACAAGUGCUUAAUUUCUUAUUCUGCAGACAAGGACAUUUCUAUUAUUUGGCGGGUUGUGCAAUUGCUAAUGAUAGCAGAAAUGGGACCCACCCUUGUCUCCAACUUUCAAAACUUUUCAUUUAAAAACUUCACAAAAUAUUAUGCUGAGUGUACUGCACACUCAUUUUGACGGUACACUUACACAAGUGGCCCCACG